Molecule: long non-coding RNA, 220 nt
Filed under: Lathyrus oleraceus (garden pea)
Lineage: Eukaryota; Viridiplantae; Streptophyta; Magnoliopsida; Fabales; Fabaceae
Description: Pisum sativum (pea) long non-coding RNA (PSAT_LNC018851)
Source: RNAcentral
UCAAUCCAAAAAUUAUAAACACUCAAUAAUAAAUGUAGUCUUCCAUUUCUCAAAAGUUUCAUAUCCUCUCCUAAAUACUUUUAACACUCUUUUCACCUACCAAAAACUUCCUUUCAAUAUCUUGUAUUUUUUUUAUAUAUAUUCCGAUGCAUUAAUAUUUUUCUUAUUGGAAAAAAAACACAAUAACCCAUUUAUAUGUAUAAACCCAUUACAUAAUUCC